Molecule: ribosomal RNA, 449 nt
Filed under: uncultured bacterium
Lineage: Bacteria
Description: bacterial SSU rRNA
Rfam family: Bacterial small subunit ribosomal RNA
Source: RNAcentral
ACGAACGCUGGCGGCAUGCCUAACACAUGCAAGUCGAACGAAGGCUUCGGCCUUAGUGGCGCACGGGUGCGUAACGCGUGGGAAUCUGCCCUUGGGUUCGGAAUAACAGUGAGAAAUUACUGCUAAUACCGGAUGAUGACUUCGGUCCAAAGAUUUAUCGCCCAAGGAUGAGCCCGCGUAAGAUUAGCUAGUUGGUGAGGUAAAGGCUCACCAAGGCGACGAUCUUUAGCUGGUCUGAGAGGAUGAUCAGCCACACUGGGACUGAGACACGGCCCAGACUCCUACGGGAGGCAGCAGUGGGGAAUAUUGGACAAUGGGCGAAAGCCUGAUCCAGCAAUGCCGCGUGAGUGAUGAAGGCCUUAGGGUUGUAAAGCUCUUUUACCAGGGAUGAUAAUGACAGUACCUGGAGAAUAAGCUCCGGCUAACUCCGUGCCAGCAGCCGCGGUAAU